RNAcentral lists this ribosomal RNA (497 nucleotides) under uncultured bacterium. RNAcentral's name for it is "partial 16S ribosomal RNA". It matches the Rfam family "Bacterial small subunit ribosomal RNA", at positions 28 to 507 of the family's 1533-position model. The record is from RNAcentral.
GAUGAACGCUGGCGGCGUGCCUAAUACAUGCAAGUCGAGCGAACGGACGAGAAGCUUGCUUUUCUGAUGUUAGCGGCGGACGGGUGAGUAACACGUGGAUAACCUACCUAUAAGACUGGGAUAACUUCGGGAAACCGGAGCUAAUACCGGAUAAUAUUUUGAACCGCAUGGUUCAAAAGUGAAAGACGGUCUUGCUGUCACUUAUAGAUGGAUCCGCGCUGCAUUAGCUAGUUGGUAAGGUAACGGCUUACCAAGGCAACGAUGCAUAGCCGACCUGAGAGGGUGAUCGGCCACCCUGGAACUGAGACACGGUCCAGACUCCUACGGGAGGCAGCAGUAGGGAAUCUUACGCAAUGGACGAAAGCCUGACGGAGCAACGCCGCGUGAGUGAUGAAGGUCUUCGGAUCGUAAAACUCUGUUAUUAGGGAAGAAGAUAUGUGUAAGUACCUGUGCACAUCUUGACGGUACCUAAUCAGAAAGCCACGGCUAACUACGUG